GAUGAAGAACGUAGCGAAAUGCGAUACUUGGUGUGAAUUGCAGAAUCCCGUGAACCAUCGAGUCUUUGAACGCAAGUUGCGCCCGAAGCCAUUUGGUUGAGGGCACGUCUGCCUGGGCGUCACAUAUCGUUGCCCGAUGCCUAUUGCACUGUGAUAGGAAAUUCUAGGGCGAAAGAUGGCUUCCCGUGGGCGUUGUUGCCUCGCGGUUGGUUGAAAAUUGAGUCCUUGGUAGGGUGUGCCAUGAUAGAUGGUGGUCGAGUUUGCUCGAGACCGAUCAUGUGUGCGCUCCCCAAAAUAUGGACUCUUUGACCCCACACGCGUCUUUUGACGCUCAUGACGAGACCUCAGGUCAGGCGGGGCUACCCGCUGAGUUUAAGCAUAUCAAUAAGCGGAGGA
Molecule: unclassified non-coding RNA, 396 nt
Filed under: soil metagenome
Description: partial contains 5.8S ribosomal RNA, internal transcribed spacer 2, and large subunit ribosomal RNA
Rfam family: 5.8S ribosomal RNA (bases 1-122)
Source: RNAcentral